This is a non-coding RNA of Phrynosoma platyrhinos (Desert horned lizard), 71 nucleotides long. NCBI's taxonomy places the organism in Eukaryota, Metazoa, Chordata, Lepidosauria, Squamata, Phrynosomatidae. The record is from the annotation of a GenBank genome assembly.
GCCAGUGUGGUGUAGUGGUUUGAACAUUUGAUUGUGACUUUAGAGGCCAGGGGUCAAAUACCUGCUUGGCA